Molecule: transfer RNA, 89 nt
Filed under: Salmo salar (Atlantic salmon)
Lineage: Eukaryota; Metazoa; Chordata; Actinopteri; Salmoniformes; Salmonidae
Also listed under: 1 other name
Rfam family: tRNA
About the family: Transfer RNA (tRNA) molecules are approximately 80 nucleotides in length. Their secondary structure includes four short double-helical elements and three loops (D, anti-codon, and T loops).
Source: Rfam by way of RNAcentral
CCUUCGAUAGCUCAGUUGGUAGAGCGGAGGACUGUAGUUGGAAUCAAGCUGAAAUCCUUAGGUCGCUGGUUCAAAUCCGGCUCGAAGGA